Fomitopsis betulina (razor strop fungus) is the source of this 100-nucleotide non-coding RNA. The record is from the annotation of a GenBank genome assembly. Lineage: Eukaryota; Fungi; Basidiomycota; Agaricomycetes; Polyporales; Fomitopsidaceae.
UGCCCCAUGGCUUAGUUGGCUAUAGCGUCCGACUGUUAUGGCGUAAUCAUACUUACGUAUGUCAAUCGGAAGGUCGAGAGUUCGAGCCUCUCUGGGGCAG